AUACGGAGGAUGCAAGUGUUAUCCGGAUUCAUUGGGUUUAAAGGGUGCGCAGGCGGGGAUGUAAGUCAGUGGUGAAAAGCUGCCGCUUAACGGUAGUCUUGCCAUUGAUACUGCGUUUCUUGAGUAUGGUUAAGGUAGGCGGAAUGUGCAGUGUAGCGGUGAAAUGCAUAGAGAUUGCACAGAACGCCGAUUGCGAAGGCAGCUUACUGAGCCAUAACUGACGCUGAGGCACGAAAGCGUGGGGAGCGAACAGGAUUAGAUACCCUGGUAGUCCACGCUGUAAACGAUGUUCACUCGCUGUUUGCGAUAUACAGUAAGCGGCUUAGUGAAAGCAUUAAGUGAACCACCUGGGGAGUACGAUCGCAAGGUUGAA
This 373-nucleotide ribosomal RNA is filed under the name uncultured bacterium. Its description in RNAcentral is "bacterial SSU rRNA". It matches the Rfam family "Bacterial small subunit ribosomal RNA", at positions 523 to 898 of the family's 1533-position model. The record is from RNAcentral.